Long non-coding RNA from Arachis stenosperma, 393 nucleotides. RefSeq lists it as uncharacterized. The record is from RefSeq and is a predicted model, not a curated record. Lineage: Eukaryota; Viridiplantae; Streptophyta; Magnoliopsida; Fabales; Fabaceae. The transcript has 4 exons.
GCAAGUAGAAACUCUUGGAGCCCAAAGGGCUGGUCUUGAAGACAUGCUUAAAGAGAUGAAAAGAAAGGAUGAUAUAUUACCAAAGUUGAUGACAUCCACUGGCUCUCAUGAGGAUCUCUUUAAGAAGGAAAUAGCAAAAUAUGACCAUAUUUGUGAAGAAAUAGCUCAAAUAUUGAGGCACAGGAGCAACUGUUGAUGCAGAUCCAGGCUCAGAAUGAUGAAUUCUCGGCUCUCUUCAAUCUUGAAGACUAUAAAGAUUGAAGCUGCCAUAGCCAAGUUUCGAGAGAUAAAAGACAACAUUAAUGAAGGGUUAAAAUUCUAUGUUACUCUGCAGGUUAGAACUUAUCAACUAUGUGUUGAUUGAAUUCUAUUAUGCAAGAAAUUAUCUGAGUA